This 775-nucleotide non-coding RNA is filed under the name Athyma cama (orange staff sergeant). The record is from RNAcentral. Lineage: Eukaryota; Metazoa; Arthropoda; Insecta; Lepidoptera; Nymphalidae.
GAUAAAUUUUUUAUAUUUUUCAUAAUUUAUUAUAAAUUUAUUUUACAUGUAAAUUUUAGUAUAAAAUUUUAAUUAUUUUAAAAAUAAUUAAUUUCAAAUAAACAGUAAUUAAAAUUAAAAAUUUAAGAAAUUAAGAUUUAGUAAUAUUUAAAUUAAUAACUAAUUUUGUGCCAGCAGUUGCGGUUAAACAAAAAUUAAAUUAAAUUAUUUCAGUUUAUAAUAAAUAAAUAAAUAUUAAAUUAAAUAUUAAAUUAUUAAGUGAAAUUUUAAUUUAAUUAAAAAUUAUUUUUAAUUUAUGAUUUAAUAAAUUUUAUUUUAAACUAGGAUUAGAUACCCUAUUAUUAAAAAUUUAAUUAAAAAUACUAAAAUAGUAGGUAAAUUAUUAUUGAAACUUAAAUAAUAUGGCGGUAUUUUAGUUCAUUUAGAGGAAUCUGUCUAAUAAUUGAUAAUCCACGAAUAAAUUUACUUAAUUUAUAAUUUUGUAUAUCAUUGUUAAAAAAAUAUUUUUAAAUAAAAAUAAUAUUUUAAAAUUUAAAAUAAAAUUUAAUUCAGAUCAAGAUGCAGGUUAUAAUUAAGUUUAGGAUGGAUUACAAUAAAUUUAUUUAAAUGAAAAAAAUUUUGUAAAAUUUGAUUGAAGGUGGAUUUAAAUGUAAUUUUAAUUAGUUUAUUAAAAUGAUUAAAAAUUAAAAUAUGUACAUAUUGCCCGUCACUUUCAUUUAAAAAUUGAAAUAAGUCGUAACAAAGUAGAAGUACUGGAAAGUGUUUCUAGAAUGAA